UCGUGAAAAAUAGAAUCAAACUAAGUUUUUCAUUUGCAAUUUUUUCUUUGAUAAAAUGAUGAUGAAUCUUCUUGUGCUUCAUCCUUACAUAGAACACUAGAUUUUUUACCAAUUAGAUAAGGUUUCAUUAUCACAAUAAAUGAAAGUAAUAUGAUCAACGUCUGGAUCUAAAUCAUCAAGCAAUCUUAUGAACCAACUCAAUUUUUAAAUUGCCAUUGCAAUGAUAC
Molecule: long non-coding RNA, 227 nt
Filed under: Elaeis guineensis (African oil palm)
Lineage: Eukaryota; Viridiplantae; Streptophyta; Magnoliopsida; Arecales; Arecaceae
Description: long non-coding RNA (EGUI_LNC008599)
Source: RNAcentral